This 1949-nucleotide long non-coding RNA is filed under the name Medicago truncatula (barrel medic). RNAcentral's name for it is "long non-coding RNA (MTRU_LNC002467)". Lineage: Eukaryota; Viridiplantae; Streptophyta; Magnoliopsida; Fabales; Fabaceae. The record is from RNAcentral.
UAGAAUAUAUGUAAAAGUAAAUCCAUAAAACAAAAAAACCAAGUGCCAAAAAUAAAGAAGGAACAUUUUGAACUGAACUGUCAAUGUGAAAUAGACACAACCAACCAAAUCUGCAUAACUAGCAAGUAAACCUUAUGCAGAUAAUCAACUAAACUAGAAAGAGAAAAAAAUGGGUAAACAUCAACAUACGUAUGACUUCAGAAAAUGGCUAAACAACAACAUCUAUGUAGAGCUGUCAAAACGGGCCGGCCCGGAUGGGCCGACCCGUUUAGCCCGAAUAAAUAUAGGGCUUGGGCCUAAAAUAUUGAGCCCGAAUUUUAAUAGGGUUUUUUAGCCCGGUACCCGUUAGGGCUAGCCCGAAUGGGCCGCGGGUAGCCCGUUAGCCCGCAUAACAAAAAAAAAUUCUAUAAAUUAUAUAUAUUUUUCAAAUAAUUAUUUACUUAGUUGAUUAUCAAAGUAAAAAAAACAAAAGUGAAAAUUCAAUGAAUUAACACAAAUAUAAAUGUAAUAUAAAAUUAUAUUUAUUCAUUUCGUUAUUUAUAGUUUUAAAGAUCGAAUAUAUAAAUAUCUAUAACCAUAACAUAUCUAAUUUAUUUAAAAUCAUUUUUUUCGUCGUUUUAGUUUACGACGUUUGUACGAAAAUGUUUACAAUUUACUUUUGUGCUAGACAUUAUUUAAACAUAUUAAAAUAUUAUUUAUAAAAAAAUUAUAGUAGUGUUUUAUAGUAUUUUUUUAAAAUAAAAAAUAUAUAUAAUUUUUAAUACGGGCCGCCCCGUUUAGCCCGCGGCCCGUGUAGGGCCGGGCUCGGGUAGUAUAUUUCAAGCCCGUUUUGUCAACCGGGCUUUUUGGUCCAGCCCGCUAGGGCCGGCCCGUUUAGGGUCGGACCGCCCGUUUUGACAGCUCUACAUCUAUGACUUCAAAAUAAAUAUCAACACAGCAAAUAUGAAGACCAAACACUUCAGCAAAAGAAAUAAAACAUAUCAACUUCUGUGCUUCAAACAAAUUAAUGGAUUGAUGCAUCAAUCUUAGAAAUUAUAACUGUGGACCCUCCUUCAUUGCUGCAAAUCAACUCAAAGAGUGCACUUAACAUCUCGCGCAUAUCAAAUAAACCAUCAUUGAAGACAAUAUUGUUUCUUUUCAACCACAAAAAUCAAUUUAUUGAUGCUAAAAUAUAUGUAUCCUUGAGUAUAAGGAUAUACACAUAUAUCAUGCAUGUUUUCACACACAUGUAUAAACUAAUUAAUUAGAGUGGAAAUAUGUUUAAUUUUGUGCAACUGCCAGUACUACGAGACGAUUAUUACAUUCAAAAAUUCUUUGGAAACUCUUCACAUAUCUGUGGAAUGGAAGUCAAAUGUUGCUUGUCUAGAUGCAGUAUUACAGUGAAAGGAAAAUCAAAACAGAUCAUACCUAGCUUGCUUCACAAUAAUGAUGCUUUUUAUAUAAGUAAGGCUAAGAACACUUCAAAAAUGAUCAAUCUCGAGGCAAGUGUGUUGAUUUUUAAAAGAAUAGACCUGUCAUAAUUAGUGUGUUGAAAGAGUAUAUUCAAAAGAGUGUAUUUCUAGCAUUUCUCUUUUUGACAUUAUUUCAUGGAAUUCUAUCUUUUCAGGCUCCUUACAAAUCUAUUAUUUUUCCUCAUACUAAUAAAAUGGAAAUGGUCCUCUAUUUCUCACCCUCUACAUUACCAUAGUUUUUGGAGUAUGAAUAUAAUAAUGUGACUUUGGUGGAUUCAAAUACUCUCUAGACAGACUCUAAAACUAUGGUAAUGGAGAGAAGAAACGGAGAGGGGAAAUGGAAAGGAUCCUAACCAUAAUAAAACAAUAUUAAUGUAUUGAUUAUUGCUAUAUGAAGCUCCCCAUUUCUUUUUAGAAAUGGAGAGGAUUCUAACCCCUGUGAAAGAUGUUGGAAAGCAUAUAUAGGAAUCUUGUAACAGCAGUAAUUGCAGUAGAUAU